UAGCUCAAUCGGUUGGAGCGUGGUGCUGAUAACACCAAGGCCACGGGUUCGAUCCCUU
This 58-nucleotide transfer RNA is filed under the name Apaloderma vittatum (bar-tailed trogon). It matches the Rfam family "tRNA", at positions 8 to 63 of the family's 71-position model. From Rfam's summary of the family: Transfer RNA (tRNA) molecules are approximately 80 nucleotides in length. Their secondary structure includes four short double-helical elements and three loops (D, anti-codon, and T loops). The record is from Rfam by way of RNAcentral. Lineage: Eukaryota; Metazoa; Chordata; Aves; Trogoniformes; Trogonidae.